This 286-nucleotide long non-coding RNA is filed under the name Salvia miltiorrhiza (redroot sage). Its description in RNAcentral is "long non-coding RNA (SMIL_LNC003628)". The record is from RNAcentral. Lineage: Eukaryota; Viridiplantae; Streptophyta; Magnoliopsida; Lamiales; Lamiaceae.
CCAUGGCCAACAAACUUCAAAAACUCCAGAUCCCACAAAUUCAACAUACCUCGCAAAAAGCGACCAUGGGAAGAAAGGCUGCGAGAGAUAGACGAGCCCUAAUUUCUGGCGAGGUGGAGACGGGCGAGGGAGAGGACGUCUCCGACUUGUCCGACGAGUGGUGCUUCCCGAUCUUCCUGCUCUCCCACUCCGCCGGCGCCUCCGCCUCCGACUCCGUCUCUCUCUCCGCCAGCGGAGGAUCCGCUAUUGUCAUCUCCGCCUCCGGAUUCUGGAGCAGAGCCGACGG